UUCACAAUUGAAGGAACUUUGCUAAAUGGGAUAAACCUGCCUACAGCCCAGGCCUGAGCACAAAACCUAGAGCCUUUACUCACCUUGACUCUCUACAUCCAAACUAACAUCAGCUAGUUACUGUACAGGCAUGGUGGCAGAUUUUUGUACCUGCCUAACACAAAUCUCCUGCUCCCUGUCUUUCUGCACAGCAUCUCCUGUGGUCACAGCUGAGACCCUGUGGUGCCCAGCUGAUCAUUUUUGCCCAGACAUUCUGCAGGACUCCAUCACCCAUCUCGGCAUUCCACAAUAAAGGGACUGGAGGAGGUAACUUCAAUGUUUCACAUGGGAGGCAUUGCUCCGGUGUUUUGUAGCAAUCCUGUAGACCCAAGCCCAGAAGCCCUGCAACACAAGUUCUGCUUGCUGCCAACAGGGAUAACGCAAGGAACUUCCAUGAAACCUCUCCGGAUUCUGAUUUAUCUGCUGAGUGGGGGAUGGAUCAUUAGUGGAGAACAAGUGCCACCAGUGGUGACCAAAAGCUAUGGCCACCUAACCACCCCCUGAAGUGCCUGAUGAAGUACCCAGGAGUGCACAUCUGUUGUGUGAAAACCCUGAUGGUGGGCAGCACUUGGAGCUGUCAUCAGCAACUGGUCCUUUAGUACUUCUUCAAGCAAGUGCUGCAAACACAGGGAGGACAGGACACCCUUUCCCUGCCCCUGCUGUAAAAGUGAUGCACAUAAAUGGGUGAGCUCGAUUGUCCCCUAUUUCAGGCCAACAUCUUUCACAAGCGUUUCAGGAACAGCUUCAAAGGCAUGCAGCUCGAACUAAUGAGAAGCGUACAGGAGGUCAGAAUUACUGUCUAGUCUUGGAAAAAUCAGAAUAUAUAUUCUUUUUUCUUUUUCUGUUUUUAUCAAGCAUUUUUUCUUUAAAAUAGAUAAGCAACUUUUAUA
Long non-coding RNA from Pipra filicauda (Wire-tailed manakin), 929 nucleotides. RefSeq lists it as uncharacterized. The record is from RefSeq and is a predicted model, not a curated record. NCBI's taxonomy places the organism in Eukaryota, Metazoa, Chordata, Aves, Passeriformes, Pipridae. The transcript is spliced from 3 exons.